Molecule: ribosomal RNA, 230 nt
Filed under: uncultured bacterium
Lineage: Bacteria
Description: partial 16S ribosomal RNA
Rfam family: Bacterial small subunit ribosomal RNA
Source: RNAcentral
GAUCCUGGCUCAGGACGAACGCUGGCGGCGCGCCUAACACAUGCAAGUCGAACGAGCGAGAGAGAGCUUGCUUUCUCGAGCGAGUGGCAAACGGGUGAGUAACGCGUGAGGAACCUGCCUCAAAGAGGGGGACAACAGUUGGAAACGACUGCUAAUACUGCAUAAGCCCACGGUGCCGCAUGGCACAGAGGGAAAAGGAGCAAUCCGCUUUGAGAUGGCCUCGCGUCCGA